RNAcentral lists this ribosomal RNA (370 nucleotides) under Pristurus sp. 8 SCar-2021. RNAcentral's name for it is "partial 12S ribosomal RNA". It matches the Rfam family "Bacterial small subunit ribosomal RNA", at positions 801 to 1374 of the family's 1533-position model. Lineage: Eukaryota; Metazoa; Chordata; Lepidosauria; Squamata; Sphaerodactylidae. The record is from RNAcentral.
CAUAAACACAGGUUGUUCUACUACCCACAACCCGCCAGAGAACUACAAGUGAAAAACUUAAAACUCAAAGGACUUGACGGUGUCCCACCCAUACUAGAGGAGCCUGUCCUAUAAUCGAUGCCCCACGUUCUACCUCACCCCCCCUUGCAACCCAGUCUAUAUACCGCCGCCGCCAGCCUACACUGUGAAUGCACCACCGUAAGCAAAAUCAUCCACACAUAAAAACGGCAGGUCAAGGUGUAGCUAAUGGGGGGGGCACCGAUGGGCUACAUUUUCCUAACUGGAAAACACCAACUGCACCAUGAAACCCUCGCAAUAAAAGGUGGAUUUAGAAGUAAACCCGGUAACCAUGCCGACUUGAAUAAGCCCC